GGAGAGGUGACGGAGUGGCCGAACGUGCCGGUCUCGAAAACCGGUGUCCGGGUAACUGGACCGAGGGUUCAAAUCCCUCCCUCUCCGCCA
RNAcentral lists this transfer RNA (90 nucleotides) under Nitrospiraceae bacterium. RNAcentral's name for it is "tRNA-Ser". It matches the Rfam family "tRNA". From Rfam's summary of the family: Transfer RNA (tRNA) molecules are approximately 80 nucleotides in length. Their secondary structure includes four short double-helical elements and three loops (D, anti-codon, and T loops). RNAcentral also lists the same sequence under 1 other name. Lineage: Bacteria; Pseudomonadati; Nitrospirota; Nitrospiria; Nitrospirales; Nitrospiraceae. The record is from RNAcentral.